CAGACCUSUAAUCGGAAAAGACUACCCGCUG
This 31-nucleotide ribosomal RNA is filed under the name Calliergonella lindbergii. RNAcentral's name for it is "partial 25S ribosomal RNA". The record is from RNAcentral. Lineage: Eukaryota; Viridiplantae; Streptophyta; Bryopsida; Hypnales; Pylaisiaceae.